GCCGGGCAUGGUGGCGCAUGCCUGUAAUCCCAGCUACUCAGGAGGCUGAGGCAGGAGAAUUGCUUGAACCCAGCAGGCAGAGGUUGCAGUGAGCUGAGAUCACGCCACUGCACUCCAGCCUGGGUGACAGAGCAAGAUUCUGUCUCAA
Pongo abelii (Sumatran orangutan) is the source of this 148-nucleotide unclassified non-coding RNA. It matches the Rfam family "Metazoan signal recognition particle RNA". Rfam says of the family: The signal recognition particle (SRP) is a universally conserved ribonucleoprotein. It is involved in the co-translational targeting of proteins to membranes. NCBI's taxonomy places the organism in Eukaryota, Metazoa, Chordata, Mammalia, Primates, Hominidae. The record is from Ensembl.